CCUACGGGUGGCUGCAGUGGGGAAUAUUGGACAAUGGGGGCAACCCUGAUCCAGCCAUGCCGCGUGUGUGAAGAAGGCCCUCGGGUUGUAAAGCACUUUCAGUGAGGAAGAACGCCUGGUGGUUAAUACCCAUCAGGAAAGACAUCACUCACAGAAGAAGCACCGGCUAACUCCGUGCCAGCAGCCGCGGUAAUACGGAGGGUGCGAGCGUUAAUCGGAAUUACUGGGCGUAAAGCGCGCGUAGGUGGCUUGAUAAGCCGGUUGUGAAAGCCCCGGGCUCAACCUGGGAACGGCAUCCGGAACUGUCAAGCUAGAGUGCAGGAGAGGAAGGUAGAAUUCCCGGUGUAGCGGUGAAAUGCGUAGAGAUCGGGAGGAAUACCAGUGGCGAAGGCGGCCUUCUGGACUGACACUGACACUGAGGUGCGAAAGCGUGGGUAGCAAACAGGACUAGAUACCCGUGUAGUC
This 465-nucleotide ribosomal RNA is filed under the name Vreelandella stevensii. Its description in RNAcentral is "partial 16S ribosomal RNA". It matches the Rfam family "Bacterial small subunit ribosomal RNA", at positions 338 to 795 of the family's 1533-position model. The record is from RNAcentral. Lineage: Bacteria; Pseudomonadati; Pseudomonadota; Gammaproteobacteria; Oceanospirillales; Halomonadaceae.